AACUUUUGACAACGGAUCACUUGGCUCUCGCAUCGAUGAAGAACGCAGCGAAAUGCGAUAAGUAAUGUGAAUUGCAGAAUGCAGUGAAUCAUCGAAUCUUUGAAGGCACCUUUCGCCCAUUGUCAUUACGAACGGUAUGCUCGUUUGAGUGUCAUUGUACUCUCAUGCCCCCGAUUCUUUUGGAUCGGGAGUGGUUGACUUGCGUGUUGCUGCUUUACUGUGGCUCACCUCAAAUGGAGUAGUGCAACUCUUGGUUGGACAUAGUACGGCGUGAUAAGUGUUUUCGCCGGCGCCUCAUUAGAGGGUGGCCGAUCGGGAGCUCUGUGCUUCAAACCGUCUUCGGACAACAUCUGACAACUUGACCUCAAAUCGAGUAGGAUUACCCGCUGAACUUAAGCAUAUCAAUAAGCGGAGGCU
This 417-nucleotide unclassified non-coding RNA is filed under the name uncultured Sebacina. RNAcentral's name for it is "sequence contains ITS2". The stretch from base 1 to 154 matches the Rfam family "5.8S ribosomal RNA". Lineage: Eukaryota; Fungi; Basidiomycota; Agaricomycetes; Sebacinales; Sebacinaceae. The record is from RNAcentral.